CAGAGAAUAGUUUAAUUAAAAUAUUAGUUUUGGGGAUUAAUGAUAAAGAAUGUUCUUUUUCUCUGA
RNAcentral lists this transfer RNA (66 nucleotides) under Panorpa dispergens. Its description in RNAcentral is "tRNA-Pro". Lineage: Eukaryota; Metazoa; Arthropoda; Insecta; Mecoptera; Panorpidae. The record is from RNAcentral.